UGUAGGAGUGAGCCUGCUCGCGAUAUCGGUAUAUCUGCCAACAUUCAUGUCACUGACAGACCGCUAUCGCGAGCAGGCUCACUCCUACA
RNAcentral lists this non-coding RNA (89 nucleotides) under Pseudomonas sp. 29. The record is from RNAcentral. Lineage: Bacteria; Pseudomonadati; Pseudomonadota; Gammaproteobacteria; Pseudomonadales; Pseudomonadaceae.